Phyllosticta paracitricarpa is the source of this 71-nucleotide non-coding RNA. Lineage: Eukaryota; Fungi; Ascomycota; Dothideomycetes; Botryosphaeriales; Phyllostictaceae. The record is from the annotation of a GenBank genome assembly.
UCCACCGUGGUGUAGUGGUAACACGUCAGACUACCAGUCUGGAGACCCGAGUUCGAUGCUCGGCGGUGGAA